GGUAUGCACUGGCUUUGCUGGUUCCUCCUUUCUGAAGAACUGUAAUGCCAUUAAUUUGGUGUUGUAGGGAAACAGGACUGUUACUUUGAAAAAAUUAGAGUGUUUAAAGCAGGCUAACGCUUGAAUACAUUAGCAUGGAAUAAUGAAAUAGGACGUUCGAUCCUAUUUUGUUGGUUUCUAGGAUUGACGUAAUGAUUAAUAGGGAUAGUUGGGGGCAUUAGUAUUCAAUUGUCAGAGGUGAAAUUCUUGGAUUUAUUGAAGACUAACUACUGCGAAAGCAUUUGCCAAGGAUGUUUUCAUUAAUCAAGAACGAAAGUUAGGGGAUCGAAGACGAUCAGAUACCGUCGUAGUCUUAACCAUAAACUAUGCCGACUAGGGAUCGGAUGAUGUUAAUUUUUUAAUGACUCAUUCGGCGCCUUACG
Molecule: ribosomal RNA, 422 nt
Filed under: uncultured Glomeromycotina
Lineage: Eukaryota; Fungi; Glomeromycota
Description: SSU rRNA
Rfam family: Eukaryotic small subunit ribosomal RNA
Source: RNAcentral